CCUACGGGAGGCAGCAGUGGGGAAUAUUGCACAAUGGGCGCAAGCCUGAUGCAGCCAUGCCGCGUGUGUGAAGAAGGCCUUCGGGUUGUAAAGCACUUUCAGCGGGGAGGAAGGCGUUAAGGUUAAUAACCUUGGCGAUUGACGUUACCCGCAGAAGCAGCACCGGCUAACUCCGUGCCAGCAGCCGCGGUAAUACGGAGGGUGCAAGCGUUAAUCGGAAUUACUGGGCGUAAAGCGCACGCAGGCGGUCUGUCAAGUCGGAUGUGAAAUCCCCGGGCUCAACCUGGGAAACUGCAUUCGAAACUGGCAGGCUAGAGUCUUGUAGAGGGGGGUAGAAUUCCAGGUGUAGCGGUGAAAUGCGUAGAGAUCUGGAGGAAUACCGGUGGCGAAGGCGGCCCCCUGGACAAAGACUGACGCUCAGGUGCGAAAGCGUGGGGAGCAAACGGGAUUAGAUACCCGAGUAGUC
RNAcentral lists this ribosomal RNA (466 nucleotides) under uncultured Klebsiella sp. RNAcentral's name for it is "bacterial SSU rRNA". It matches the Rfam family "Bacterial small subunit ribosomal RNA", at positions 338 to 795 of the family's 1533-position model. The record is from RNAcentral. Lineage: Bacteria; Pseudomonadati; Pseudomonadota; Gammaproteobacteria; Enterobacterales; Enterobacteriaceae.